GGGGCUGAGGCUCAGUGGCAGAGCACUCGCCUGACAUAUGAGAGGCACUGGGUUCAAUACUCAGCACCACA
This 71-nucleotide transfer RNA is filed under the name Marmota monax (woodchuck). Its description in RNAcentral is "tRNA.Val". It matches the Rfam family "tRNA". From Rfam's summary of the family: Transfer RNA (tRNA) molecules are approximately 80 nucleotides in length. Their secondary structure includes four short double-helical elements and three loops (D, anti-codon, and T loops). Lineage: Eukaryota; Metazoa; Chordata; Mammalia; Rodentia; Sciuridae. The record is from RNAcentral.